GUAACACGUAGUCAACCUGCCCUGGAGACAUGGACAACCCCGGGAAACUGGGUUUAAUCCGUGAUAGGUCAUCUCAUCUGGAAGGAGAGAUGGCUUAAAGGGAUGCGCGGGCUUCUUCUGCGUAUUUGCUCCAGGAUGGGACUGCGUCCGAUCAGGCUGUUGGCGGGGUAAUGGCCCACCAAGCCAGUAACCGGUACGGGCCUUGAGAGAGGUGGCCCGGAGAUGGACACUGAGAGAAGGGUCCAGGUCCUACGGGGCGCAGCAGGCGCGAAACCUUCGCAAUGCGCGCAAGCGUGACGAGGUUAAUCCGAGUGAUUUCCGCUGAGGAGACCUUUUGUCUGCUGUAAAUAGGCAGGCGAAUAAGGGGAGGGCAAGCCUGGUGUCAGCCGCCGCGGUAAUACCAGCUCCUCGAGUGGUCGGGGCGAUUAUUGGGCCUAAAGCAUCCGUAGCCGGUUCCGUAGGUCCUCUGUUAAAUCCAACCGCCCAACGGUUGACCUGCAGAGGAUACCGCGAGACU
Molecule: ribosomal RNA, 517 nt
Filed under: uncultured archaeon
Lineage: Archaea
Description: bacterial SSU rRNA
Rfam family: Archaeal small subunit ribosomal RNA
Source: RNAcentral